CAGCAGCCGCGGGGAUACGAGGGGGGCAAGCGUUGUUCGGAAUUAUUGGGCGUAAAGGGCGCGUAGGCGGUUUGACAAGUUUGGUGUGAAAUCUAUGGGCUCAACCCAUAGCCUGCAUCGAAAACUGUCGGGCUUGAGUAUGGGAGAGGUGAGUGGAAUUUCCGGUGUAGCGGUGAAAUGCGUAGAUAUCGGAAGGAACACCUGUGGCGAAAGCGGCUCUCUGGCUUGUAACUGACGCUGAGGCUCGAAAGCUAGGGGAGCAAACAGGAUUAGAUACCCCCGUAGUCCCUGUCUCUUAUAA
This 301-nucleotide ribosomal RNA is filed under the name uncultured bacterium. RNAcentral's name for it is "partial 16S ribosomal RNA". It matches the Rfam family "Bacterial small subunit ribosomal RNA", at positions 509 to 809 of the family's 1533-position model. The record is from RNAcentral.